AUUGAACGCUGGCGGCAGGCUUAACACAUGCAAGUCGAACGGUAACAUAAAGAAGCUUGCUUCUUUGAUGACGAGUGGCGGACGGGUGAGUAAUGCUUGGGAAUCUAGCUUAUGGAGGGGGAUAACUACGGGAAACUGUAGCUAAUACCGCGUAGAAUCGGGAGAUGAAAGUGUGGGACCUUCGGGCCACAUGCCAUAGGAUGAGCCCAAGUGGGAUUAGGUAGUUGGUGAGGUAAAGGCUCACCAAGCCGACGAUCUCUAGCUGGUCUGAGAGGAUGACCAGCCACACUGGGACUGAGACACGGCCCAGACUCCUACGGGAGGCAGCAGUGGGGAAUAUUGCGCAAUGGGGGCAACCCUGACGCAGCCAUGCCGCGUGAAUGAAGAAGGCCUUCGGGUUGUAAAGUUCUUUCGGUAGCGAGGAAGGCAUUUAGUUUAAUAAACUGGAUGAUUGACGUUAACUACAGAAGAAGCACCGGCUAACUCCGUGCCAGCAGCCGCGGUAAUACGGAGGGUGCGAGCGUUAAUCGGAAUAACUGGGCGUAAAGGGCACGCAGGCGGUGACUUAAGUGAGGUGUGAAAGCCCCGGGCUUAACCUGGGAAUUGCAUUUCAUACUGGGUCGCUAGAGUACUUUAGGGAGGGGUAGAAUUCCACGUGUAGCGGUGAAAUGCGUAGAGAUGUGGAGGAAUACCGAAGGCGAAGGCAGCCCCUUGGGAAUGUACUGACGCUCAUGUGCGAAAGCGUGGGGAGCAAACAGG
RNAcentral lists this ribosomal RNA (759 nucleotides) under Parahaemophilus parainfluenzae. RNAcentral's name for it is "Haemophilus parainfluenzae bacterial SSU rRNA". It matches the Rfam family "Bacterial small subunit ribosomal RNA", at positions 28 to 776 of the family's 1533-position model. Lineage: Bacteria; Pseudomonadati; Pseudomonadota; Gammaproteobacteria; Pasteurellales; Pasteurellaceae. The record is from RNAcentral.